UUGCCUUUUGGGAGACUCCUCACCUACACGUGAUUCCAGACUCUGGUAUGCAUAUGCUUAGAUACAAUGAGGCUAGAAUCCAUGAGAUAGAAUAUUCAAGACUGUUAGUGUCAGAACUGAAGACAUUAAUAUGCAAAAAAAGCAGAAAUGGAGAGAUGAUAAAUAUUAAUGAUUGACUGAGGGGUACCUAAUGGCUUAGAGAGUGAGAUCUCUGUGUAAAUGCACCACAUGUACUGAAAGUUCCCUUUUCCCUUUGAGAAGCCUCUGAAGCACUUAAAAGAAUCUCUCUAGAUUUCUACUUAUGCCCUCCAUCCAGGUACCCCUGCUUUAUAUCUUGGUGUUGAUUCCUAACCCCUUUCCACCUCCCUGCCCAGGACCUUUGACUAAAGCCCCUACUAGACCUCUGCUUAGCUCCAGUGUUUUCCUUGCCCCUGGAAAGAUCCCUUGUUUUUAUGCCUUGGCUUCCCCACAUGCUCAGCCACCAAGCCUAGGAUCCAGGAAACUCUAAUGGUCACAGGUGCCAGAACACCCCCUUGGCUGAGAGGGAUAUUCAUGAGGUCAAGUUCAGUGUAACCAUCCCUGGAGGAAAAGGGAUUCAGGGAGAGUCCUGAAAGGCAACAGCUCAGGAUUGUAAAAUUGAAAUUUGGUAGUCCAUAUAAAAACUUCCAGCAAGAAGCUAUAUUUCGUUCUUUUCUUUUCUCUUUUUUCUUUCUUUGUCCUUUUAAGGCUGCACCUGCAGCAUAUGGAAGUUCCCAGGCUAAGGGUUGAAUCAGAGAUACAGCUGCUGGCCUAUACCACAACCACAUCAAUGCGGGAUUCGAGCCACAUCUGCAGCAUAAACCACAUCUCACGGCAAUGCCAGAUCCUUAACCCACUGAACGAUGCCAGGGAUCAAACUCACAUCCUCAUGGAUACUAGUUUGGUUUGUUACUGCUGAGCCAUGACAGGAACUCCAAGAAGCUAUAUUUCUAACAGACUCUUAAGGACUUUGCUGUUUUGUGACUUAUACUAUACAAGGCAAUAGGAUUCCUUGAAUCUAGGGACUGAGUCAUAUUUGCUCUUAGUCCCAGAGACUAGCACUUUACAUGAAACAUGGUAAGCCCACAACACAACACAUUUUUUGGAUAAAAUCCAUUUCUAACUUGUGUAUGUGUUCAUUCAGAAUUGUGGGAAUAUCAGGCAUGCUGAUGGAGGAAUCAUUGAGUAUAAAAAGGAAAGGUUAAAUGUGUUUGACAACUGUUGCUUUGUACAUUCUUGCAGAGCAGGCAGGGAUUGGUGAAUGAGCAAGCAAUGGCUUGGAAUAAUAAACUAUCACUGUCUGUACAAAUCCAAGAAAUCCUGGUGUCAAGUGUUGGAGGGAAAGCAAAGUACUAUUGGCCAUUCUUAGAGAUAGGACUUGAAGUGGAGAGAGAAACUAAUGCAUGAGAAGGAGUUCCUGCUAUGGACAGUGGAAACAAAUCUGACGAGUAUCCAUGAGGACGUGGGUUCAAUCCCUGACCUUGCUCAGUGGGUUAAAGAUCUGGCAUUGCCGUGAACUGUGGUGUGGGUCGUAGAUGUGGCAUGGAUCUGGCAUUGCUGUGGCUGUGGUGUAGAACAGCAGCUAUAGCUCUGAUUCAACCCCUAGCCUGGAAACUUCCAUAUGCCACACUUGAAGCCCUAAAAAGCAAAAAAAAAAAAAAAAAAAAAAAAAAAAGCAGGAGAAUCCUUAAUCUUCAGUAAAUAUCACCUUACCUCUAGACACACAUUCACUUCCUCCCUCUCACUCACAGAUUCUGACCCAUUCUGGUUCAGGAAGGGGCACACAGGCAGCUUAUUAUCAUAACACGGGUCCCAAGCUAAGAGGGUACCUGAUGGCAUUUUUAAACUGAAAUCAUUUAAAAAAUACUAGUAUAAAUCCCAUGUUAAUUUUUAAAAACAUUUUUAUUAAAGUAUAGUUGAUUUACAAUGUCGUGCUGAUUUCUGCUAUAAAGCAAAGUGAUCUGUUAUAUAUACACAACAUAUAUUACAUACCUAUUCUUUUUUUUUUUUUUUGGUCUUUUUGUUUUUUUAGGGCUGCACUAGUGGCAUAUGGAGGUUCCCAGGCUAGAGGUCUAAUCAGAGCUACAGCUUCCGGCCUACACCACAACCAUAGCAAUGCCAGAUUCGAGCCGAGUCUGUGACCUGUACCACAGCUCACGGCAACGCCAGACCCUUAACCCAUGAGCAAUGCAUGAGAUCAAACCCUAGUCGGAUUCAUUUCCAACUGUGCCAUGAUGGGAACUCCUAUUCUUUUUUAUAUUCUUUUGCAUCAUGGUUUAUCCCAGGAGAUUGGAAAUAGUUCCCUGUGCUACACAGUAGGAACUUUUUGUUAAUUCUUAAUUAUGUUUGACUCAUCAAUCUCUUUGAGAACCUAAUAAAAAGCUAUGGACUAUCUUUCCAGAAAAAUGAAUAUAAAGGACACAGGCACAGAACUUUUCAGAUACACAUAAUUUCAGGACAUUUAUAGAUAAUUGUGAAGGAGAAUCUUAAAGUCUUCAUGUCAAAAAUCUCUUGUUAAUGUGGGAAAAAUAUUUCUAUGAAGUGAAUAAUUAUUACUUAAUCAAUCCAUUUAUGCAUGUAUUUACGACAGGAAUUGCAACUCAGCUACCUGUGAGGGUCAGGCAGGAAACCUAACACAGUGGUUCAGAGGGCAGAGGCAGUGGCCCAGGAAUUAUGGGGAUGUGGUGGCCUGGUGCACACAUACUCCUGGAAAAGGCAGAUGUGCCUCAGCCCACCACUUGUGGACAUGUAGUCUCAGUUUUACUAGAAUUUAGAUUUUUCUUUCCUGCUUUUUAGGGCUGCACCCACAGCGUACGGAAGUUCCCAGGCUAGGGGUCAGGUCAGAGCUAUAGCUGCUGGCCUACACCACAGCCACGCAGGAUCCAAGCUGUGUCUAUGACCUAUACCACAGCUCUCAGCAAUGCUGGAUCCUUAACUCACUGAGCGAGGCCAGGUAUCCAACCUGAAUCCUCAUGUAUACUAAUCAGAUUCGUUUCUGCUACACCACAACGGGAACUCCCAAAUUUAGAUUUUUAUGGAAAGAUAAAAAUCUGAUUUUAUUACACUUCCUGAUUUUCAGCAGACUAUGCAAGCAAACAAAACAUGACUGAUUACACUUCCUUUGACAACAUUUUCUUAAAAAUUGUUGCAUGUACAGAAAAGAAGAAUUAUGCAGUGAAUACUCCUACAUGUCCCCCAACCCCCUGUUUCUACAGGAAACUUUUGGCUUUUUUGCUUAUCACAUAUCUAUCCAUCCAACCAUCCCUCCACCCACCCACCCAUUCAUCUUAAUUUUUAUGCAUUUCAGUAUACUCCCACAGAAACACUUCUGGUCGCUCACUUUUGGUCUCUAUUUUGAUCUAUUUUGAUUCAUUUAUUGGAAUGUGUGCAUGCAUGUGUAGGUGUGUGCGAGUAUGCACACAUCCAUGUGUGUGUUUUAUUUUUUUUUAAAUCUGUUUAUUUUAUUCUAUUUUAUUUUAUUUUUGUCUUUUUGCCAUUUCUUGAACCGCUCCCACGGCAUGUGGAGGUUCCCAGGCUAGGGGUCGAAUCAGAGCUGUAGCCACCGGCGUACGCCAGAGCCACAGCAAUGCAGGAUCCGAGCCGCGUCUGCAACCUACACCACAGCUCACGGCAACGCCGGAUCGUUAACCCACUGAACAAGGGCAGGGACCGAACCCACAACCUCAUGGUUCCUAGUCGGAUUCGUUAACCACUGCGCCACGACGGGAACUCCCAUGUGUGUGUUUUAAAUGAAGCUUCUGUGUCCGAGCUGACACAUUUGGGGCAUGCAAUAGUUAACCAGUGACGCUGCUGCACUGCUGUGAGCCGGACCAAAAUUUGAUGGUGUUACAUAGUGACUGUCAUGGAAUGGGAGUGAAGUGGGUGAUGAUGGGGAGUGACUUGAGUUUCAGAAAUCAUUUUUUGGCUAGAUUCAAAUCUGAGAGUUAUCGUUACUGCUGAAGUUAAGAAUAAAAGCAAUGUUCCCAUGGCCAUAAAAAUAAUGCAAAACAUUGACUGUGGAAGAACUUUAUAGCUACAUCACCCAAAAUAACCAGGUGUGCAGAGCAAUGAGGCAGACAGGGAUGGAGAGGGGAAGUACCCACAAUCAGAGAAGCUGUUACUGUGGUAAUUAGCGGCAAAUGUUUUCCCAGUCAUAUUGGAGGGAAGCAGGGUCUUCCUAUAAUAGCAGAAUAAGUACAUACAGUAAAAUGUGUAUCAUCACAUUCUGAUGGUUUCUCCAAGCAUUGUCACAUUUUAAGUUAAUAAAAACAAAAUCAGAUUAUGAGGUAGGCACAGAUAAGAAAACUGAGGUUUACAGAGAUCUUGUAUCUCAAAAAUUAUACUGUAAAGGAAGUGGCAGAAGUAAGAUAUAAACCUUGGUCUGUCUUAUUCCAAACAAAUCCUCCUAACCACUUCAUUAAACUGAAUCCUAUAAAAUGUUUCAGCAUUGGAAAUAAGAGUCUUGGGAACAGAAUAUGACUAGGAUCAGCUACAGCAUUUGUGGGACCCAGUGUAAACUAAAAACGCAAGUUCCCUUUUUCAAAAAUUACUAAGAAUUUCAAGAGAGAGAGACAGCAGUGCAUUACACAAAGUGUGGGGCCUUCUGCAUGCGGGGCCCUGUGUGACUGCAUUGGCCACACACGCCCAUGAAUAAAGCUGGACUUGGAUUUGCCAUUAGAAUACAGAACCGAGACCCGAAAAAAGGUCAUUUAAAGAACAGGCACCAGACCCCCCCCCAA
RNAcentral lists this long non-coding RNA (4757 nucleotides) under Sus scrofa (pig). RNAcentral describes it as "lncRNA (ENSSSCG00000054105.1)". The record is from RNAcentral. Lineage: Eukaryota; Metazoa; Chordata; Mammalia; Artiodactyla; Suidae.